CGGCAGACGGUCGGCGCCCAUUCGGCGUCGCAGCUCCGGGCUGACGGACUUCUUCCGUCCCGCUGUCAGUCAGAUAGGAAGUCCCUCCGGUCGGAUACACCGAAACGAGCGUGCAGUCCCGGGGGAGGCUCUCCUCGGUUCCCCAGCGCCGCUUCCUCCCUCCCUCCCACGCACGCUUGCUUUUCCCCUCCCGAAGAGAUGAGGCGGAGGGAGAAAAGGCUGCUGCAGUUCGCCGGGCUUCUCAUCGCGGCUUUCCUCUUCCUCCCCAACGUCGGCCUGUGGUCCUUGUACCGGGAUCGGGUGUUCGACAACCCGCCGGACGCGGCAGUGGCACCGGCAGCGGCGGACGGAGCGCAGCUUCAGGGUGUUAACAAAGUGCAGAAGGACAAUCCGGUGCGCAGAACCGCUCCACAGAGGAAAGACUGGCACGACUACCAAGCCAUCAAAAGGGAUGCCUCCAGAUCCGGUAACGGCGAGCAGGGGAAGCCCUUCCCCCUGACGGAGGCCGACCGGGUGGACCAGGCCUACAGGGAGAACGGCUUCAACAUUUACGUCAGCGACAGGAUCUCCCUCAAUCGCUCCGUCCCCGACAUUCGUCAUCCCAACUGUAAACGGAAGCUGUACGGCGAGAAGCUGCCCAGCACCAGCGUCAUCAUCCCGUUCCACAACGAGGGCUGGUCGACGCUGCUCCGGACGGUCCACAGCGUCCUCAACCGCUCGCCUCCGGAGCUCAUCGCCGAGGUCAUCCUGGUGGACGACUUUAGCGACAAAGUGCACCUGAAGGGGCCGCUGGAUGAGUACAUGGUCCGCCUGCCCAAAGUACGCAUCCUGAGGAGCGAGAAAAGGGAGGGUCUGAUCCGGACACGUCUGCUGGGCGCCGCCGCUGCCAAAGGCGAGGUCAUCACCUUCCUGGAUUCUCAUUGCGAGGCUAACGUCAACUGGUUGCCUCCGCUACUCGAUCGGAUCGCCCAGGACCGGAAGACCAUCGUGUGCCCGAUGAUCGACGUGAUCGACCACGACAACUUUGGCUACGAGAUGCAAGCGGGCGACGCCAUGCGCGGCGCCUUUGACUGGGAAAUGUUCUACAAGCGCAUCCCCAUCCCCGCCCGCUUGCAGAAGGACGACCCCAGCGAGCCCUUUGAGUCUCCGGUAAUGGCAGGAGGCCUGUUCGCCAUUGAUAGAAAGUGGUUCUGGGAGCUGGGGGGCUACGACACGGGUCUGGAGAUCUGGGGAGGAGAGCAGUACGAGAUCUCCUUCAAGGUCUGGAUGUGCGGCGGUCGCAUGGAGGACAUCCCGUGCUCCAGGGUGGGACACAUCUACAGGAAGUACGUCCCCUACAAGGUGCCCGGAGGGGUCAGCCUGGCCAGGAACCUGAAGCGCGUGGCCGAGGUGUGGAUGGACGAGUACGCCGACUACAUCUACCGGCGGCAGCCCGAGUACCGCCACCUGUCCGCCGGCGACAUGACGGCGCAGAAGGAGCUGAGGAGACGCCUGGGCUGCAAGAACUUCAAGUGGUUCAUGAGCGAGGUGGCCUGGGAUCUGCCCGAGCACUACCCGCCCGUGGAGCCUCCCGCCGCCGCCUGGGGCGAGAUACGAAACCAGGCUAGCGGCAUGUGUAUGGAGACCAAGCACUUUGUGUCGGGAAGCCCCAUCCGCCUGGAGAACUGCGGAAAGCUCCGGGAGGAGUUCAGCUGGAGCCACGGGCAGGUGUUCACGUUUGGUUGGCGCGAGGACAUCCGCGUGGGCGACCCCAUGCACACCAAGAAGGUGUGCUUUGACGCCGUCUCCCACAGCAGCCCCGUCACGCUGUACGACUGUCACGGCAUGAAAGGAAACCAGCUCUGGCGCUACCGCAAGGAUCAGAGCUUGUACCACCCGGUGAGCAACAGCUGCGUGGACAGCGACGCGGCCGAGCACCGUCUCUACAUGAACACGUGUAACCCGUCCUCGCCCGGCCAGCGUUGGCUCUUUGAGAAGACCAACGGCACCGUGCUGGAGCGCUUCAACCGCGGCGGCGCCGCCGCCGCCGCACAUUGAACACCGCCCAGCUGGUAUCGUCCGCCGCUGCCGUCCUGGGGUGGGCCCCGAGUUUGGUUGAUGGGAUUUAGCGACGCAUUCCUACUCCUGUCGCCUUAUUUUUCCUGCCUUUUUCUUCACCGCCGAGUUCCUUAUCUCGUCCUGACGAGGAGUGGGCGGCUUCGCCGAGCAGAAGCGCGUGUGAAUGCACCCCACCUUCACCCACCCCCCUUGCCGUGGCUUUCCUAUUUUUAUUUUUUCAUUUCUUGACGCUCUCAUGUCCCUCGUCACAGGCGGAUGAGCGUGGGGUCGCCCCCGCCCCGCUUGUCGUGUGAUUGGCAGGUGGGAUGGGGCGACACGGGCGGGAGAGGGAGGGCGACUUUAAUGCACUUGUGAUACACUUGAAUGAAAACUUAGUGCCUUUGCUGAACAUUUUCGAUGUGUGGUCAGAGUGCGGCGACAGUGAACACGAUUUGAGCGAGGAACAGCGAAAGACUGAACCGACGACUGGUUCGUGGGAUUUCCAGACUCGGCCCGUCGUCACCUUCACCGAUGGACGGUCUAGCCGGCCCAAUGGACGCAGCGUGAUGAUCUGGCAAGAGCGACAGACCGGGUCGUGGUUGGGAAGGACGACCUUGCAAGGAGGAAAUCGGAUGGAUCAGAGGCUGCAAGGAGAAAGUGGACACAUUGGAUCAUUCGAGUGGUUGACCACUUAAUUGCCUUUAUGGAAACGAGCACUGGGACCUGUGCACCGCUGCAACACUCUGAACGAAAGGUCCCGUUUCCCAGUCCCCUUGAAGGGACCCAGCAAUUUGUGUUCUUCACGUACGUACGGUUGACAGCGAUCGUCGUUAGUCCUCCAGCUAAGUACGGAAGAACGGAGCACUGAAAGCCAACUACUGGAUGGGUGGACACUCAUUACUCUCCAUUGUCCGUAAUGGACACGCAAAGCCUUGGAAGUGCCUUUCCAUUCCAUUUCAUUUCACCCCAUGAGAAACGAUGAUGGAGGGCUGGCGGACUUGAAAGGAAGGACGAAGAGCUCAUGUUGGGUCAUUGAUCACCGACGACUUGCGCGUUAUCACAGAGUGGCCAAAAUCAAUCGCUCAUUUCGCCUUGCGAGCGAGCGAGCGGACGGACAGCCACAGGCCCCCCCGAUCCGCCUCGCCCCUCCGCCUCCUCUCUGUAGCCAAUGAAGACACGUAGCCAGCCACCUUUCAUGGGAGCGAGGAACGGUGACACACAAAGCAAAGGCGCUGGCUGGCUGGCUGGCUGGCUGGCUGGUCGGCUGGCUGGCUAGCUGGCUGGCAAUGAGCGAGCAAAUAUCGCAAUUCAUCUUGAUAUCCAUCACUUGAUGCGUCUUUUUAUGGCCGUCAUUUGUUGCGCAAUAGGCCUCGCCUCGUGUGCUCCUCUUUACGCUCUAAAUACAUUGUCACGCCUGUCCGACUAAUAGCAACACAGAUCAAUUCUCAUAAACAGCAGGCAACGAUAAAAGCUGAUUGAUUCUUGAUUCGCGUCGCAGUGCUCUCGUUUGACCACCAGAUGGUAAUAAAAUACAUACUUGGCCUCGGGGGACGUCUCCCAGACUUCA
This is an RNA transcript of Syngnathus typhle (broad-nosed pipefish), 3604 nucleotides long. It is a transcript of the gene named polypeptide N-acetylgalactosaminyltransferase 10-like, with no coding region annotated. The transcript is spliced from 14 exons. Lineage: Eukaryota; Metazoa; Chordata; Actinopteri; Syngnathiformes; Syngnathidae. The record is from RefSeq and is a predicted model, not a curated record.